This 472-nucleotide ribosomal RNA is filed under the name uncultured bacterium. Its description in RNAcentral is "partial 16S ribosomal RNA". It matches the Rfam family "Bacterial small subunit ribosomal RNA", at positions 28 to 507 of the family's 1533-position model. The record is from RNAcentral.
GACGAACGCUGGCGGCGUGCUUAACACAUGCAAGUCGAACGCUGAAGCUUGGUGCUUGCACUGGGUGGAUGAGUGGCGAACGGGUGAGUAAUACGUGAGUAACCUGCCCUUGACUCUGGGAUAAGCCUGGGGAACUGGGUCUAAUACUGGAUAUGACAUGCCACUGCAUGGUGGUGUGUGGAAAGGGUUUUACUGGUUUUGGAUGGGCUCACGGCCUAUCAGCUUGUUGGUGGGGUAAUGGCCUACCAAGGCGACGACGGGUAGCCGGCCUGAGAGGGUGACCGGCCACACUGGGACUGAGACACGGCCCAGACUCCUACGGGAGGCAGCAGUGGGGAAUAUUGCACAAUGGGCGGAAGCCUGAUGCAGCGACGCCGCGUGAGGGAUGACGGCCUUCGGGUUGUAAACCUCUUUCAGCACGGAAGAAGCGAGAGUGACGGUACGUGCAGAAGAAGCGCCGGCUAACUACGUG